GACCAGUGAGAUUGGCUCCUAUCCUGUCACAGGAAAAAGCAGAAGGCGGACAGCUAAGGUGUGAAAAACACAGCACCCUGAGAGCCGCUGAAAGGGUGAAAAGAGAAAAGAAGGGAGGAAGAAAGCCCUGUCUGUGAGAAGAUGAAUGCCUUAACGAAGAAUAUAGCUCACGGCCUGCCAAGGAGCUGUUGGAGUUUUGUAUCUCUGAUGUAGCAUCAACCAAUGAGAACCCUUCUGACUGCAUGAAGACUCUUCAUUUUGUACCCCAGUGUCUGGGUACCAAGCAGGGGUGCCUAGAAG
Non-coding RNA from Peromyscus maniculatus bairdii (prairie deer mouse), 300 nucleotides. NCBI's taxonomy places the organism in Eukaryota, Metazoa, Chordata, Mammalia, Rodentia, Cricetidae. The record is from RefSeq and is a predicted model, not a curated record.